Molecule: long non-coding RNA, 408 nt
Organism: Vitis riparia (riverbank grape)
Lineage: Eukaryota; Viridiplantae; Streptophyta; Magnoliopsida; Vitales; Vitaceae
Exons: 2
Source: RefSeq, a predicted model, not a curated record
CUCACAUAGGGCUUUCAGUUUUCGGCUCCGAGACUUGUCAAUGGCUUCUUCUUCUAAAUCUUUGUUUCUUCUUUUCGUUUUUGCCUUGGUUCUUGUUCUCUUCAUCUCAUUUCAAGUUUGUGCUGGAGAAAGCAGCGCGGUGGCCGAUUAUUCGAACCAUGAUCUCGAUCCUGGAAAGUGUUAUGAUUACUGCUCGAGAGACUAUUCCUAUACUCCUAAGUAAAAGAGAACAUCGCGCUUGUCUACAUGAAAAAUGAAAAUAAAAUAAUUUACGUCAAGUAUGUUGCACUAAGUCAUUCAUGUUGAUGUCCAAGAGACUAUUCCUAUACUCCUAAGUAAAAGAGAACAUCUCGCUUGUUUGUAUGAAAAAUGAAAAUAAAAUAAUUUACGUCGAGUAUGUUGCAGUAA